GUAGUCUGCAACUCGACUGCAUGAAGCUGGAAUCGCUAGUAAUCGCGAAUCAGAAUGUCGCGGUGAAUACGGUUCCCGGGUCUUGUACACACCGCCCGUCACACCAUGGGAGCCGACAACGCCCGAAGUCAGUGACCUAACCGAGAGGGAGGAGCUGCCGAAGGCGGGGUUGGUAACUGGGGUGAAGUCGUAACAAGGUAAC
This 202-nucleotide ribosomal RNA is filed under the name uncultured bacterium. RNAcentral's name for it is "partial 16S ribosomal RNA". It matches the Rfam family "Bacterial small subunit ribosomal RNA", at positions 1300 to 1500 of the family's 1533-position model. The record is from RNAcentral.